UCCUACGGGAGGCAGCAGUGGGGAAUUUUGGACAAUGGGGGCAACCCUGAUCCAGCAAUGCCGCGUGUGUGAAGAAGGCCUUCGGGUUGUAAAGCACUUUUGUCCGGAAAGAAAACCGCUUCUCUAAUACAGAGGCGGGAUGACGGUACCGGAAGAAUAAGCACCGGCUAACUACGUGCCAGCAGCCGCGGUAAUACGUAGGGUGCAAGCGUUAAUCGGAAUUACUGGGCGUAAAGCGUGCGCAGGCGGUUCGCUAAGACCGAUGUGAAAUCCCCGGGCUUAACCUGGGAACUGCAUUGGUGACUGGCGGGCUAGAGUAUGGCAGAGGGGGGUAGAAUUCCACGUGUAGCAGUGAAAUGCGUAGAGAUGUGGAGGAAUACCGAUGGCGAAGGCAGCCC
Molecule: ribosomal RNA, 398 nt
Filed under: uncultured bacterium
Lineage: Bacteria
Description: bacterial SSU rRNA
Rfam family: Bacterial small subunit ribosomal RNA
Source: RNAcentral